UCAGGAGUGCCAUGCCAGCGUGCAUAGAUAGUGUCUUGACAGCUGUAACAAUUGAUUUACGCUGAAAAAUGUCAGAUCAAGGAGUAACCAUUAUUGAUCAACGCAUCAGACUGUACUUCAAUCAAGGUCUUACACAGGCAGUAAUUGCACUGUGUCUCUCUGUUAGAGAUAACAUUCAAAUCAGUCCUCAUCAUUUAAGGAGAAGACUUUCAUGGCUGCAACCUCACAGGCGAGUGCACUUCAGUGAUCCCUCUGAGACUGUUAACUUCAUUCGUAACCAGAUAAAGGACCAGGUCUGAUGAUGCACGAGAGGUGCAGAUUAGUUGGCUUGCGUCUUACUCAAGACUUGAUUUACGAGGUUCAAUCAUAUCAUGACCCAGAGGGCGUACAGCAACAAAGAGGCGCAAGACUUCGGAGAAGAUCUUAUAGUGUCCCAGGGCCCAAUUAUAUGUGGCAUAUGGACUUUUAUGAUAAGCUCACCACUUUUGGAUUGGAGUAAAUGGGUGCAUAGAUAGGUUUUCACGUCAUAUAAUCUGGAUGCAAGCAAACUCUUCAAAUAGUAUCCCCCAAAGUCACCACAGCCUACUUCAUAAGCACAGUCACUGAACUUGGGGGAUGUCCAAAGAUACUUAGAUCAGGCUGCAACACUUCCUCUGAGAGGAUGACACUGAUGCUGUCCAUGGAUCUUGUGUGUUACGUGUUAAGAAAGUACAACAAACCAAAGGAUCUGGUGGGGAUCUACAGGAGUCAGAACAUGGACUACUGAAGGUGGAAACGGGCAUGAUUUGUAUCAUGGAAAACCAUUUCUGAUGUACAGUGUGCCUGAGCUCUAUCUUGCACAAGAUUAUCAUUCAGUAGGGUGUGACAGAGUGGACAUCAUUCUGCAAGAGAACGUCUGUCAGUGGAAAACAGCCAUUCCCUGCGACCUUGACCUCUAUGAGUUUUGUAUGCUGGUGAUGAAGGAAAACAAUAUAGCACAGUGUCAUAACGCUCUGGUGGCCAUAAGAUUUAACAGAGACCUCAGACCUUCAAUAAGAGCACUCCUGCCACACCCUGAUCAGUUAGCUGAGCACUCAGUGGACCAGCAGGAACUGCAGGCAGGCAUCCAUUUUUCCAUCUUUUUGUCAGUGUGGUCAAUAGAAGAAGUGUGUCAUUGGCUGGCAUCCAACAACCUCAACCAAUACAUGGAGAGAUUCCAAGACUGGACAGACUGGAGAGGAGACUGGGAGUCAUGGAGGGGGUGCAAAAAGUCUCAAGUGUCACCAGGACAAGAUGCGGGCUGAGUACCUUAAGAAACACUCCAAUCUGUAGUUGCACUUGAGGAGUAUCCUGCACUCCAAUUUUCCAGCAAUAAUAAGUCACAUUAUUCCCUUUUCAUUCACUCAGCUCUAAAUGUGUGUGUGUUUGUUUGGGUGUGUGUUAUUCACAGCUCCUCACAGAAUUGCAAGAUGAGCUUGAUGUUGACAUCGAUCACAGCAUCAUGAUGGGAAUGGGCAAAGUGGCGAAGAAAGUCACAGAAGUAUGUCAGCAGCAAACAACUGGACUAGACCCCCUCUCAUGUAUGAAGAAGAAUGGAUGUGCAGAGGAGUCACACAGAGGUCUGCAAGUGAUCCUGGCUAUGUUCCACAUUUAUUCAAAGAGAACCCCAGCGCCCUCUACAUGAUCAACAAGAAGGAAACCCCUUUUUGGAGGCUAGUUUUGUGGUGCAUUUGAACUACACAGACGUCCUCAACCAUCAGGUUGAUGACAUCAUAAUCGGGCUGUGGACCUUGAUAUCUAUUUAUUUGGUUUUCAACAUCCAGAACUACAAGAGGGUCAAAAACACUCUUACUUUCAUUGAAAAGUACCUCAUGUCAAAUGCACCUCAAGGAAAGAUCUCGUCCAUUGUCAUCAAGAUGGCUAACUACUUGUUUUCUUAAGCAGUCUCCUGUGUAUCCUCCCUGAACCCCAUCUCUCACACACAAACAUACUUCCAUGUUAUUGUCUUUAGUUUAAGCAUCAAAUGACAUCCAGUCUUGUAUUUGCAUUGAUCUAUACAGUCUUUAUUGAACUGAAGUUUAAGCAUUGUGGAGGAGAAACCAAUUGUAAAAGAAAAAAAAGAAAAAGAAAGGAAAAAUAUAUUAAUCAGCAUGUUAUAUUGUGUCAUGUAAUAUUUAAGACAUGUAUUUUUGUGAAUUAUAUAUUUACUUAAAUUAUGUGUAUAUUACUACUACUGCAACAACUAC
Thunnus maccoyii (southern bluefin tuna) is the source of this 2225-nucleotide RNA transcript. RefSeq lists it as uncharacterized. Lineage: Eukaryota; Metazoa; Chordata; Actinopteri; Scombriformes; Scombridae. The record is from RefSeq and is a predicted model, not a curated record. The transcript has 7 exons.